Molecule: transfer RNA, 69 nt
Filed under: Yunnanites coriacea
Lineage: Eukaryota; Metazoa; Arthropoda; Insecta; Orthoptera; Pyrgomorphidae
Description: tRNA-Gln
Rfam family: tRNA
About the family: Transfer RNA (tRNA) molecules are approximately 80 nucleotides in length.
Source: RNAcentral
UAUAUUGAAGUGUAUGAUGCACAGUAGUUUUUGAAACUAUUUGUGAUAGUUUGAUUCUAUCUAAUAUAA